This 253-nucleotide ribosomal RNA is filed under the name uncultured bacterium. RNAcentral's name for it is "partial 16S ribosomal RNA". It matches the Rfam family "Bacterial small subunit ribosomal RNA", at positions 524 to 776 of the family's 1533-position model. The record is from RNAcentral.
UACGUAGGCAGCAAGCGUUGUUCGAAGUUACUGGGCGUAAAGAGUGCGUAGGUGGUUCCCUAAGUCUGUUGUGAAAUCUCCCGGCUUAACUGGGAGGGUGCGUUGGAAACUGGGGUGCUUGAGUGUGGGAGAGGUAAGCGGAAUUCCUGGUGUAGCGGUGAAAUGCGUAGAUAUCAGGAGGAACACCGGUGGUGAAGACGGCUUACUGGGCCACGACUGACGCUGAGGCGCGAAAGCGUGGGGAGCAAACAGG